Molecule: transfer-messenger RNA, 390 nt
Filed under: Campylobacterota bacterium
Lineage: Bacteria; Pseudomonadati; Campylobacterota
Also listed under: 2 other names
Description: Epsilonproteobacteria bacterium transfer-messenger RNA
Rfam family: transfer-messenger RNA
About the family: Bacterial tmRNA, also known as 10Sa RNA or SsrA, is named for its dual tRNA and mRNA-like properties. Its role is to liberate the mRNA from a stalled ribosome. To accomplish this part of the tmRNA is used as a reading frame that ends in a translation stop signal.
Source: RNAcentral
GGGGGCGUACUGGCUUCGACGUUUUAUUGAUAGUCAAAAGUGCAUGUCGAGUUUUUACUGUAAACUCGUAAAAGAAGCGGUAAAUCAAUAAAUGCAGAACCUAAUACUGCUAAUGUAUCAUUCUUAGGUUCAUUGUUCGCAAUGUUCGCUGGAAUGUUCACAUUCUUAAGACGUCGUGAAGACGGCUAUUCUUUAGCGUUUUAAGUAUAAUUAAACUAUAGUCUUUUCUACACAAAGUUAUUCUGUUUCAUAGUGUAGAUCAUAUAUCAAACAGAUUUGCUUGCAAUGCUCUGUUCCAAGGUAGCAAGCUCAUAUAUUUGGAAACUAAACAUGUAGUACUUUUCACUUGAUAUAAUGCGGACAUGGGUUCAAUUCCCAUCGCCUCCACCA